CAAAAGUAGACCGGAAUUAGUUCCUAGAUCUGGAGCAGGGAAGUUAUCUAAAAACACCAACUUUCGUUAAAAGAAAGCAGCGACCUCCUCUGGCGUUCACCCCCGAAGGAAAAAGGAAUUUGAGAAACUGGCGCCCCCCAAUAGAUGUAUAAUCGGCUCUCAGUGCAUGCUUCUUAGAGCUUUCUAGAAGACAACCAGCUGACUUUUCCAACGGAACUCCACAGUUGGUACCACAAAUUUGCAUUCCGGUCGUUUCUACGAAAGACCACCUGACGUAAUUUUAGGCUCAUGCUUUUCUGUGGAAGGACAGAAUUACUGGGGCGCAGGUCCCCAAUAACAGAUAAAAAUACUUAUGAACAAAAUCGUUUAGUGUCAGGUCGCUGUUUUGUUUUGUUUUUGGAAAUACAGACCAAUCACUGAGCUUUCCCAUUAAAAGAGUCAAUACGUGCAAAGCAAGUAGAACAGCGAGCUCCUGGUAAGAAUAAGC
RNAcentral lists this long non-coding RNA (487 nucleotides) under Homo sapiens (human). Its description in RNAcentral is "HSALNT0199639". The record is from RNAcentral. Lineage: Eukaryota; Metazoa; Chordata; Mammalia; Primates; Hominidae.